GCGGAUAUAGUACAUCGGUAGUACAUGAGCUUCCCAAGCUUAGGAGGCGGGUCCGACUCCCGUUAUCCGCU
RNAcentral lists this transfer RNA (71 nucleotides) under Lachnospiraceae bacterium. RNAcentral's name for it is "tRNA-Gly". It matches the Rfam family "tRNA". From Rfam's summary of the family: Transfer RNA (tRNA) molecules are approximately 80 nucleotides in length. The record is from RNAcentral. Lineage: Bacteria; Bacillati; Bacillota; Clostridia; Lachnospirales; Lachnospiraceae. RNAcentral also lists the same sequence under 1 other name.